This 855-nucleotide long non-coding RNA is filed under the name Crocodylus porosus (Australian saltwater crocodile). RNAcentral describes it as "lncRNA (ENSCPRG00005004112.1)". Lineage: Eukaryota; Metazoa; Chordata; Crocodylia; Crocodylidae. The record is from RNAcentral.
GUAGUAAUAGAGUUGGGUUUUUUCGUUCUUCCCUCUGUCAAGAAAAUCUAAUGGUUAGAGCUGCUUGGGAUGGAAAGAAAACAUCCCCCCUUAAAGCCAACAUCAUUUAACUAUGCCAGAAUCAGCUGGCAAGAGGUAAUGUUGUUGUCUUGAUAGAUUGCUUCCCUAUCCUGCCAACCUCCUCCUGUUCAUCUAACCCCGGCCCCAUACACUCAUAGGCCUCAGAAUACUUCUUCAGUGCAUCCCCAACAGGAGAUCCAUGUGGUAGUUUGUAGACAGCUGCUAUGACACUGAAUGGAGUUUUAGCUGGAUUUUCAACUCCCUCCCUGUUUGCACCUUCUAGCCACCCGUAUUUGUAUUGUAUAACAAUCUGCUUUAUCAACCCAGACCCUUUUACAUAACAGAGCAUUAUGCCCACUGCUGCUAUGGUUACAACCUGAUUUCACCGGCUAGGAAUUAAACUACUGUAUGGUCUCUUACAUCUAGCAGACAUUUAAGGGCACUGGCUUUCAGAUACUGAACUACUGGACUAGUGAAUGAUGGUUUUGUGCUCUCUGUGCAAGAGACAUGGGGGGAUGCAUCUGAGACCAUCCAUAUAAGACCAGAAUGCCAUACUCUGGAGCUUAAAACCUGGUCCUUGAAGUCUACAGGCUUUCUGAGGCUAUAAUUUUGGGGAGUGGAGAGCAGCCAUGCCAGUCAAAAGAGUUAUGGGAAUCACAGUUUACAAUGUCAUCCACAUCACAUUAAGUCUCACUUUCUCUCAGUACACGAAGAGCCCACAGAUACUUUCAUUCAUCAUUAACUUCAUAUUUGAUUAAGAAGAAAAUCAAACACAAAAGGACAAAAACAAAGUCU